ACGCUGUGCCGUUUGCGCAUCCCUUCAUAUCUCGGGCUGUUGGUGACGGCAUGGUUUUGCGCUUGCCGUAUGACGCUGAUUCCCCGCCCCCCUCGCCGUGAGAGGUUGUGCGUGGUUGGUGGCUUCGUGUGUGGGCAGGAUGCAUGUGUGGGCGACCGUUAUAGUACCUGGACGCUUGCGCCCUGGUUAGUGCGUGCGCUGUGCGUGUGUCCUGCGGCCUAGACGUUUCCCGGCACUCCUGUGCCUAGGCCUGUGGCGUUGAGGCACAGCGGUGGGGCUCUGGCGGGUUGAGGCUUGGCUAGGACUCACUGUGCGCGGAGUCACACGGACUUUGCCCGCGGGAGGGUUUGCAGCAAAGUCAGGGUUGGUGGAGUCAAGUUGGGCCCUGAUAGCAUGUGAUGGCUCGGCGUCUUCGGGUGCUGGGACUGUCCCCUCUGUAACAUCCGCAUUCAUAACUU
Molecule: long non-coding RNA, 458 nt
Filed under: Chlamydomonas reinhardtii
Lineage: Eukaryota; Viridiplantae; Chlorophyta; Chlorophyceae; Chlamydomonadales; Chlamydomonadaceae
Description: long non-coding RNA (CREI_LNC000916)
Source: RNAcentral